RNAcentral lists this ribosomal RNA (255 nucleotides) under uncultured bacterium. RNAcentral describes it as "partial 16S ribosomal RNA". It matches the Rfam family "Bacterial small subunit ribosomal RNA", at positions 58 to 305 of the family's 1533-position model. The record is from RNAcentral.
ACAAGUCGAGCGGUAAGCCAACUUCGGUUGGCCUAGAGCGGCGGACGGGGUAGUAACACGUGGUUAAUCUACCCUUUUGUUUGGGAUAGCUUUUGUAAACAUGAGGUAAUACCGGAUGAGAUUCUUUUAUCAUAAGGUGAAAGAAGGAAAGGCGCUUUACAGCGUCGCAAGAGGAUGAGUCCGCGGCCCAUUAGCUAGACGGCAGGGUAAAAGCCUACCGUGGCAAUGAUGGGUAGCCGGCCUGAGAGGGUGAUC